Molecule: non-coding RNA, 1143 nt
Organism: Cyanistes caeruleus (blue tit)
Lineage: Eukaryota; Metazoa; Chordata; Aves; Passeriformes; Paridae
Source: RefSeq, a predicted model, not a curated record
UAAAAAUUGGAUCAUAUUUCCUGUGCAGAAGGUUGCACAAGCGGUACUUAGUGUAAGCAGUCACCCAAGGCUCAGAAACUGAGAUAAUUGCAUGAUUUUUGCAGGUACUCUUCAGCUACAUGCAGCAGGGAAGAGCCAUUUCACCUGCUGCAUGUACACUGGUAGCUACCCAGUGGCUCAAAUAAGAGAGACCAAUUUUAUGCUCGGCACUUGUCUGUGGUUGGAAUGGUGGUAGCAGGUCAACAACCACAACAGGCCAUGGGACCCUCUGAUGAGGAGAGGAUUUUAAGAUCUAAAGCUGAAAUUUAGGUGUGUUUGUGAAGGGGAAUGCAAUCAAAGGAUACAUUUUUUUCAGUGCAUCAGAGGAAGGGGCUCUAAACACCAUCUCCAGAGGAAUUCAGCUGCAUAUCAGUGAAGUAAAGAAUGACCAGGCAAUACUCUUUGAAAAUUGGAGACCAUUUGCAGCUGCUCUCUGCUGAGGAAAGUGAAUAAUAGGGUGCCCUCAAGGAAUUUCAAAGAGACUGGCAGGAUGAGAUGACAGUUUUUUCUUACAGCCCUGUUAAUACUUUUCACUAACAAGGAAAGGGAAAGAGAAUAAUUCUCUGCAAUAAUAUUGACUCCUUUUGUGAUCUAGGCACCACCAAGUGAUUGGGAGCAAGAGCAGCUCAGAUAUGAUGGAGACAAUGGGGCUGAACCUCUCCUAGAAAGUCACAGGUCACUGUGAGCUGCAAAAUCUUCAAGGACAGCCUUUUCCCAUGUCCUCUGUAGGCAAAACCAGGAGGUAACAAGUACCUGUGCUCCAGCUGACUCAUUCUCAGUCUGGUGUAAUAAUGUAGUCCCAUCUACAUCGCCAUGGUUCCCUUUCUCCCCUCUGCAUGUAAAAUAAACAUGAUGGGGCCAGCUCUUGCAUUUUACUACCUUGACUUGUGGGAACAUCCUUUCACAUGCUUGGAUUAGGUCUAGGAUCACAUUGGUCUAGUUUCUUUCAGGAUCAUAAAGUCUGUGAACUUCCAAUGCUGGGCAUGGUAUGGAGGCAUUUGCUUCCCUGGUGGUUUUCCAAAGUGCCUGGGUUUUCCUUCCAUCUGAAGCUAUGCUGCUUUUGGUGAGACUAUGCUCUGUGUGAGAAGGUAUGUGGAGUGCAGA